CUCAUUAAAUCAGUUAUAGUUUAUUUGAUGGUCUCUCUGUUCUUCUUUUUACCUACUUGGAUAACCGUGGUAAUUCUAGAGCUAAUACAUGCGCAAGGCCCCGAGCGCGGGGGGCGGGCUUCACGGCCUCGUCCUCGCAUGCGCAGAGGGAUGUAUUUAUUAGGUUAAAAACCAGCAGUCAGCAAUGGCCCCUGCCAAACACUCCUGGUGAUUCAUAGUAACUCUUUCGGAUCGCAUUCAUG
RNAcentral lists this ribosomal RNA (242 nucleotides) under uncultured Acanthamoeba. Its description in RNAcentral is "partial 18S ribosomal RNA". It matches the Rfam family "Eukaryotic small subunit ribosomal RNA", at positions 97 to 279 of the family's 1831-position model. Lineage: Eukaryota; Discosea; Longamoebia; Acanthamoebidae. The record is from RNAcentral.